Molecule: ribosomal RNA, 241 nt
Filed under: uncultured bacterium
Lineage: Bacteria
Description: partial 16S ribosomal RNA
Rfam family: Bacterial small subunit ribosomal RNA
Source: RNAcentral
GAUCCUGCGUCAGGAUGAACGCUAGCGACAGGCUUAACACAUGCAAGUCGAGGGGCAGCAUGAGGUAGCAAUACCUUGAUGGCGACCGGCGCACGGGUGAGUAACGCGUAUGCAACCUGCCCGAUACCGGGGUAUAGCCCAUGGAAACGUGGAUUAACACCCCAUAGUACUUUUAUCCUGCCUGGGAUGGGAGUUAAAUGUUCAAGGUAUCGGAUGGGCAUGCGUCCUAUUAGUUAGUUGG